RNAcentral lists this ribosomal RNA (1551 nucleotides) under uncultured bacterium. RNAcentral's name for it is "bacterial SSU rRNA". It matches the Rfam family "Bacterial small subunit ribosomal RNA". The record is from RNAcentral.
AGAGUUUGAUCCUGGCUCAGGAUGAACGCUAGCUACAGGCUUAACACAUGCAAGUCGAGGGGCAGCAUGGACCCAGCUUUGCUGGGUUUGAUGGCGACCGGCGCACGGGUGAGUAACGCGUAUCCAACCUGCCCUUUACUCCGGGAUAGUCUCCUGAAAGGGAGUUUAAUACCGGAUGUGUUUGUCUUUCCGCAUGGGAGCGACAAAUAAAGAUUAAUUGGUAAAGGAUGGGGAUGCGUCCCAUUAGCUUGUUGGCGGGGUAACGGCCCACCAAGGCGACGAUGGGUAGGGGUUCUGAGAGGAAGGUCCCCCACAUUGGAACUGAGACACGGUCCAAACUCCUACGGGAGGCAGCAGUGAGGAAUAUUGGUCAAUGGGCGGGAGCCUGAACCAGCCAAGUAGCGUGAAGGACGACGGCCCUACGGGUUGUAAACUUCUUUUAUAAGGGAAUAAAGUUCGCCACGUGUGGUGUUUUGUAUGUACCUUAUGAAUAAGCAUCGGCUAAUUCCGUGCCAGCAGCCGCGGUAAUACGGAAGAUGCGAGCGUUAUCCGGAUUUAUUGGGUUUAAAGGGAGCGUAGGCGGGCUUUUAAGUCAGCGGUCAAAUGUCGUGGCUCAACCAUGUCAAGCCGUUGAAACUGUAAGCCUUGAGUCUGCACAGGGCACAUGGAAUUCGUGGUGUAGCGGUGAAAUGCUUAGAUAUCACGAAGAACUCCGAUCGCGAAGGCAUUGUGCCGGGGCAUAACUGACGCUGAGGCUCGAAAGUGCGGGUAUCAAACAGGAUUAGAUACCCUGGUAGUCCGCACGGUAAACGAUGAAUGCUCGCUAUGGGCGAUAUAUUGUCCGUGGCCAAGCGAAAGCGUUAAGCAUUCCACCUGGGGAGUACGCCGGCAACGGUGAAACUCAAAGGAAUUGACGGGGGCCCGCACAAGCGGAGGAACAUGUGGUUUAAUUCGAUGAUACGCGAGGAACCUUACCCGGGCUUGAAUUGCAGGUGCAUGAGUCAGAGAUGAUUCUUUCCUUCGGGACUCCUGUGAAGGUGCUGCAUGGUUGUCGUCAGCUCGUGCCGUGAGGUGUCGGCUUAAGUGCCAUAACGAGCGCAACCCUUCUCCCCAGUUGCCAUCGGGUAAUGCCGGGCCCUCUGGGGACACUGCCAUCGUAAGAUGCGAGGAAGGUGGGGAUGACGUCAAAUCAGCACGGCCCUUACGUCCGGGGCCACACACGUGUUACAAUGGGGGGUACAGAGGGCCGCUGUCCGGUGACGGUCGGCCAAUCCCUAAAACCCCUCUCAGUUCGGACUGGAGUCUGCAACCCGACUCCACGAAGCUGGAUUCGCUAGUAAUCGCGCAUCAGCCAUGGCGCGGUGAAUACGUUCCCGGGCCUUGUACACACCGCCCGUCAAGCCAUGAAAGCCGGGGGUGCCUGAAGUCCGUGACCGCGAGGGUCGGCCUAGGGUAAAACUGGUGAUUGGGGCUAAGUCGUAACAAGGUAGCCGUAAGGGCGAAUUCGCGGCCGCUGAGUUCAAUGCUGUGUGGAAUGGUGCGACAUCCCCC